This 1278-nucleotide long non-coding RNA is filed under the name Marmota monax (woodchuck). Lineage: Eukaryota; Metazoa; Chordata; Mammalia; Rodentia; Sciuridae. The record is from RNAcentral.
AUUCCCUGAAACCUGGAUCUGAGAAGAAUACUGAAGGAAUAGUCAGCUGAAGAUGGCUCACUGGACCAGCAGAUAUGACAACUCAGAAGCUUAACCAAAACUGUCAGUCAUUUAGUGGACUGGAUUUUGCAUUUAAGGUGGACGGUCGUGAUGGACUACAUUCUAAAGAUGUUAUCCUAAGAUCUGUUUAUCUUGGUUAUUCUAUCAAGCACUCAGCUAGAUGCUACCAAAAUAGACUUUGCAGAUGAAGAUUACAUUCCUGAAAUGAGAGAAAUCAUCCUGGAUUAUUGGGUGGAACUAAUCUAAUCACAUGAACCAUUAAAAACAGGCAAAUACCUCCCACUAGAGUAAGAGAUCCAGACAAGAGGUAAGGCAGAAAUAUAAAUUAGACUUGAAGCAUGCUAGAAGAAACUGACUCCCUGUUGCUAACUUUGAGGAAGAGAGUGAGUGGUGUGAGCCACGUAGAUGUACUCUGGAAGCUGAAAAUAAGUCCCAGCAGAAGGAAAGGGAACAAGGAAAUGAAGAGUCCAGUCGCACAUAUUCAAGGAACAAUGUUUAGCCAGUAAUUUGAAUGAGCUUGGAAGCUAAUUCUUCUCAAGCUCUCUUGAUCAGAGUCCAACAAACAAAGAUCUUACAAGAUCUUAUUUUUAUCCUUGUGAAAUCAAUAGCAAAGAAACCAGCCUCGCCAUCUCAGACUUCCAUCCAACCUAUGGACUGUGAAUGUAUCAACUGAUGCUUUAAGCUAUAAAAUCGUAGUAAUUUUGUUCUGGCAUCAUGACAUUAAGUUACCAUACCAUUUUUGGUUAUGAACAUGUGUUGGAGAACUAAAACAGAAAUAAUUGUGAAAGAUGAGCCUAAAUUCAGGCAUUUUCAACUGGAUCUGAUACCGUUCCCACAAAAGACAUAUGGUGAUGACUACAGACAUGGUCAUAUAUCACAACUGGGGAUACAGGGUUUGUCACUGGCAUCUAGUGGGUGGAGGCCAAGAAUGGUACUAAAAUCUUAUCAUGUAAAGAAUAUCCUCUUACAACAAAGUAUUAUGCAGUCCAAAAUACUGGUAGUAUCAAAGUUGAGAAUCCCUUAACUAGAAAUGGGCAAGCACGGGCUAGAUGAUCAAAGGUCUUCAAUGCCUGACCCAAAGGAAUUGACGUAACACCUCCAAAGCCAUGGAUGGGCAUGGAUUCUUGUUAUGUGUUCUUUUCUCUCCCAAGCUAGAUAAACAAUAUGUUAUGUUUCUUUUGUUGAAUAAGAGGAAGCAAGUAAGAUGGAGGUAAUUAC